Molecule: non-coding RNA, 45 nt
Organism: Schistosoma haematobium
Lineage: Eukaryota; Metazoa; Platyhelminthes; Trematoda; Strigeidida; Schistosomatidae
Source: Rfam
AUUCAACUGAUGAGUCCCAAAUACGGCGAAACUCGUAUCCUGAAU